This 1434-nucleotide ribosomal RNA is filed under the name uncultured Alphaproteobacteria bacterium. RNAcentral's name for it is "bacterial SSU rRNA". It matches the Rfam family "Bacterial small subunit ribosomal RNA". The record is from RNAcentral. Lineage: Bacteria; Pseudomonadati; Pseudomonadota; Alphaproteobacteria.
AGAGUUUGAUCAUGGCUCAGAACGUACGCUGGCGGCACGCCUAACACAUGCAAGUCGAACGAAGUAGCAAUACUUAGUGGCAGACGGGUGAGUAACAUGUGGGUAUCUGCCCUUUGGCCUGGAAUAACACGAGGAAACUUGUGCUAAUACCGGAUAAGUCUUUACGGAGAAAGCUUUAUGCACCAUUGGAUGAGCCCGCACUUGAUUAGUUUGUUGGUGGGGUAAUGGCCUACCAAGACUAUGAUCAAUAGCUGAUUUGAGAGGAUGAUCAGCCACAUUGGGACUGAGACACGGCCCAAACUCCUACGGGAGGCAGCAGUGGGGAAUCUUGCACAAUGGAGGAAACUCUGAUGCAGCGAUGCCGCGUGAGUGAAGAAGGCCCUUGGGUUGUAAAGCUCUUUCGUCGGGGAAGAAAAUGACUGUACCCGAAUAAGAAGGUCCGGCUAACUUCGUGCCAGCAGCCGCGGUAAUACGAAGGGACCUAGCGUAGUUCGGAAUUACUGGGCUUAAAGAGUUCGUAGGUGGUUGAAAAAGUUAGUGGUGAAAUCCCAGAGCUUAACUCUGGAACUGCCAUUAAAACUUUUCAGCUAGAGUAUGAUAGAGGAAAGUAGAAUUUCUAGUGUAGAGGUGAAAUUCGUAGAUAUUAGAAAGAAUACCAAUUGCGAAGGCAGCUUUCUGGAUCAUUACUGACACUGAGGAACGAAAGCAUGGGUAGCGAAGAGGAUUAGAUACCCUCGUAGUCCAUGCCGUAAACGAUGUGUGUUAGACGUUGGAAAUUUAUUUUCAGUGUCGCAGCGAAAGCGAUAAACACACCGCCUGGGGAGUACGACCGCAAGGUUAAAACUCAAAUGAAUUGACGGGGACCCGCACAAGUAGUGGAGCAUGUGGUUUAAUUCGAAGAUACGCGCAGAACCUUACCAACACUUGACAUGUUCGUCGCGACUCUAAGAGAUUAGAGUUUUCGGUUCGGCCGGACGAAACACAGGUGCUGCAUGGCUGUCGUCAGCUCGUGUCGUGAGAUGUUGGGUUAAGUCCCGCAACGAGCGCAACCCUCACUUUUAGUUGCCAUCAUUAAGUUGGGCACUCUGAAAGAACUGCCAGUGAUAAGCUGGAGGAAGGUGGGGAUGACGUCAAGUCCUCAUGGCCCUUACGUGUUGGGCUACACACGUGCUACAAUGGUAUCUACAACAGGAAGCAAGACUGCGAGGUCAAGCAAAUCCUUAAAAGAUACCUCAGUUCGGAUUGCACUCUGCAACUCGAGUGCAUGAAGCUGGAAUUACUAGUAAUCGUGGAUCAGCGUGCCACGGUGAAUGCGUUCCCGGGUCUUGUACACACCGCCCGUCACACCAUGGGAGUUGGUUCUACCUUAAGGCAAGGUUUCAAACCCUUGACCACGGUAUAGUCAGCGACUGGGGUGAAGUCGUAACAAGGUAA